UCAUUUAGAACUGGGAGACUAGAGUUUUGGAAGGGGGAGUGGAAUUCCAGGUGUAGCGGUGAAAUGCGUAGAGAUCUGGAGGAACAUCAAUGGCGAAGGCCACUCCCUGGCCAAAGACUGACGCUCAUGUGCGAAAGUGUGGGUAGCGAACAGGAUUAGAUACCCUGGUAGUCCACACCGUAAACGCUGUCUACUAGCUGUUUGUGAAUUUAAUUCGUGAGUAGCGAAGCUAACGCGAUAAGUAGACCGCCUGGGGAGUACGGCCGCAAGGUUAAAACUCAAAUGAAUUGACGGGGGCCCGCACAAGCGGUGGAGCAUGUGGUUUAAUUCGAUGCAACGCGAAGAACUUUACAUACUCUUGACAUACUAGAAACUUUUCAAAGAUGAAUUGCUGCCUUCGGGAAUCUAGAUACAGGCGCCGCAUGGCUGUCGUCAGCUCGUGUCGUGGGAUGUUGGGUUAAGUCCCGCA
Molecule: ribosomal RNA, 469 nt
Filed under: uncultured bacterium
Lineage: Bacteria
Description: bacterial SSU rRNA
Rfam family: Bacterial small subunit ribosomal RNA
Source: RNAcentral